CCUGGCACGGGGACAGUCCCACCCUGGCUCAGGGGGACAUGGGGCGUGGCAUGGGGAGACACUGGAGGGGGACAUCAGAUGGGACAUGUUGGAUUGAGGGCAUUUCAUGGAGAUGAUGGAUGGGGCUUUGAGCAGGACAGUGGACAGCCCUGGAGGGGGAGGUGUUGCCAGAGGUGGAUGGAGAUGUUGGACAGGAGAGUUGGAUGGAGAGAUGGAGCCAUGGAGCAGGAAGAAGGCAGGGAGAAGUGCAGGUGAGCUGGAUGGAGGUGCUGGAUGGAGGUGCUGGAUGCAGAGUGGUGUUGGACACGCUCUGUAGAGACUUGGGGAUGCUGGAGGGGGAGAUGAGGGAUGGUGGGGCUGAACUGGAGAGGUCUGAUGGAGACACGGGGUGGGACACCUCCAGUGAAUGGAUGGACAGAGAUGUGGGUGAGGAGGCACCUUCUUUUUUCCCACCUUUCACCAUCUUUUUUCCACCUUUUUAGCAGAAAAUAACCAAGGAAGUUAUUUUCUCUUCCCCCUUAAGCAACACAUCCAAAUGAGUUCAGUUCUGUGUAUACUGGGACAUUUUUACAACCCCAAAAGCAGCUAUUGACAGCACAAACGCACUACAGAUAAAAACCCAUUUUCAACCCCAAAAA
This is a non-coding RNA of Taeniopygia guttata (zebra finch), 638 nucleotides long. The record is from RefSeq and is a predicted model, not a curated record. NCBI's taxonomy places the organism in Eukaryota, Metazoa, Chordata, Aves, Passeriformes, Estrildidae.